CCUACGGGAGGCAGCAGUGAGGAAUAUUGGUCAAUGGACGAGAGUCUGAACCAGCCAAGUAGCGUGAAGGAUGACUGCCCUAUGGGUUGUAAACUUCUUUUAUAAAGGAAUAAAACGAGGCACGUGUGCCUUUUUGCAUGUACUUUAUGAAUAAGGAUCGGCUAACUCCGUGCCAGCAGCCGCGGUAAGACGGAGGAUCCGAGCGUUAUCCGGAUUUCUUGGGUUUAAAGGGAACGUAGAUGGGUUGUUAAGUCAGUUGUGAAAGUUUGCGGCUCAACCGUAAAAUUGCAAUUGAUACUGGCAGUCUUGAGUACAGUUGAGGGAGGCGGAAUUCGUGGUGUAGCGGUGAAAUGCUUAGAUAUCACGAAGAACCCCGAUUGCGAAGGCAGCUUACUAAACUGUGACUGACAUUGAUGCUCGAAAGUGUGGGUAUCAAACAGGAUUAGAUACCCCAGUAGUC
This 460-nucleotide ribosomal RNA is filed under the name uncultured bacterium. Its description in RNAcentral is "partial 16S ribosomal RNA". It matches the Rfam family "Bacterial small subunit ribosomal RNA", at positions 338 to 795 of the family's 1533-position model. The record is from RNAcentral.